Molecule: ribosomal RNA, 253 nt
Filed under: uncultured bacterium
Lineage: Bacteria
Description: partial 16S ribosomal RNA
Rfam family: Bacterial small subunit ribosomal RNA
Source: RNAcentral
UACGUAGGGGGCAAGCGUUGUCCGGAUUUAUUGGGCGUAAAGAGCUCGUAGGCGGUUUGUCGCGUCUGCUGUGAAAACCCGAGGCUCAACCUCGGGCCUGCAGUGGGUACGGGCAGACUAGAGUGCGGUAGGGGAGAUUGGAAUUCCUGGUGUAGCGGUGGAAUGCGCAGAUAUCGGGAGGAACACCGGUGGCGAAGGCGGUUCUCUGGGCCUUACCUGACGCUGAGGAGCGAAAGCGUGGGGAGCGAACAGG